Long non-coding RNA from Brassica napus (rape), 3546 nucleotides. RefSeq lists it as uncharacterized. Lineage: Eukaryota; Viridiplantae; Streptophyta; Magnoliopsida; Brassicales; Brassicaceae. The record is from RefSeq and is a predicted model, not a curated record. The transcript is spliced from 3 exons.
UCGACCCAGACUAAACAUUGGACCCACUAACACCUUCUAUAUCUUCUAGCGUCGUCUUCUUCGUACCUUAUCUUCCACGACCGACUACAUAACCUAUGUGUAACGCCUUUGUUUCUCAUUGAAUCCACUUCUUAACGUCUCUCCAUUAUCUCCCUCCGUUCAACUCUGCCACUAAGUCGGCUUUAAUGACCACUUUUCUCAAUUUCCAUCUCAAAUCCCUAAUUCUUGAGAUUGUAAAUAGGGAUAAGUAAUUCACCAAAUCUCACUGCUUCAGAAGAUUAAUCAAAUUCCAUUUUUUUUUUCCGAUUUAGUCUGGCCGUUGUCCCAAACGGUGGUGGCGCUUCUUCUGUGUUUCUGGGGAGCAUGCACUGUCAAGAAAAUAGGAGAGCUCAUGGGAUUCAACAUGCUCCUGUUUUAUGAAAAGGUAGCUCUUCGUGUCCCCUUGAUGAUAGAAUCUGAGGGCCUAACUGGUAACCAUUACACAGGAACAUUGGGAACACAUAGAAAAAGAACCGAAAAGAAUAAAAUUAUAGGAAUGAUGAGGAAUAAUGAUUCCUUAUAAUAUUUAGGCUUUGAACGGUGACCAAGGAACGAAAGUGAACAUUUAAUUCUUUAUCAUUCUAAAAAAAAAUCACCAUUCACAAGGAAUAGUUUUUCCUUCUUGUUCCUCCCCAUUCCUUUUUUUGUAGAGAAAUAUAGAACAAAAGCAUUCCUUGUUAAAUUUGAUAAGGAAUAAGCAUUCCUUUUAAUUCCUGAAAUUUUAUUCCUAUACGUUUCUUUCCUAUUUGUUCCUCAUGUUCCCAGAAAAGUCACCAGUCGGAGCCUUAGUGAGCAACAAAUUUAUUCAAUAUUUCACUACAAUAAAAGGAAUGAGAAGGAAUGAAGUGGAAAAACUAUUCCUUAUGAAUGGUAAAUUUUUUUAGGAAUGUUAAGGAAUGCAUUGUUCCUCUUCAUUCUUUGGUCACUAUUCAUACCCUGAAUUUAUUAUAUUGCUUCUCUACUAUUUUGUCAUGAUUUUUUGUUAAAUAGUCAUCUCUCUAAGGAUCUAUUUAUAUGCAUCAGCUAGAUGCAUUGCUUAAGUGAUGAAGGUUUAAUAGAUCUAAGCCAAGACUCAAGUUCCCAGUGGCUAAUCAAGUCUCAAGAAAUGAAAACUGAUGAUCCUAAGAUUUAUAAUGAAAAGAUCGGAUCUCACGAGAAGUUACAGAAUUUAAAUACCAUCAUGGCUGUCUAGAUGAUUGUAGAGUUCCUCAUGUAUACAUCGAUCUCCAGAUUGCUAUAUCUGGUCUCCUCCAACAGGGAUGAAGAACAAUUAGUUUAAAACCAUAUCCACAAUCUAUUAUCUAUACUGAAGCUUGGAUUAGCCAUUUAAAGCAUUGGAGUAAAGCAUGGAUCAUCAUCAUCUUUUUCAUUUUCCAUUGUCUGAUGUUGUGUGUUCUUCUUUUAUAUGUUUGUUAUUUGAUUCUUUUUACGGCUUCAAAUUGGCAUGAAUUUUUCAGAAGAGUACUUGUGGUUGCAAAAAAUUCCUUCGCAUUAAGACAGCAAAGUACUUUGGAUAACGCAAAUCCAAAGCAAUUGUGGAUUUCGGGUCUUUUGCCUCUUUUGCUGGUUUAUGUCAUGGAGCAAGCCUUUCUUGACUCUGGAUUCCUAUUUAUCUGAUAGGUAGGUUUGGCUGCAAAGACAGCACCUGUCCAGCCAACUUGUGUCGAGAGCUCUGCAGAGGAAAACCUGGUUCUAGCAGUAUGGAGUGCACUCAAUGCACGCAAGGAAUAUUUACUUAAGCUCUCCACACGAAGACCCUCCUAUUUUACUGAAGCUUUGUUGAGGUUAUGCUUUAAGAAUAACCACUGCAGUAUAGUGGUACGUUCAACAUGUCAAAAAUACAUAUGAAGUCGGCAACCAACAAACCAAGAUCUAACAAAUAAAUUAACACAUUUGCACAUCCCUUUCGCGCGGAUCUCCCCUAGUCUUAUAUAUAUAUUAUAUAAAGGAGUGUUUUACUCACUCCUAAGGCUGCCACAUAUGAUUACAGGUCAGAAAGUCGGGCUCUGUGAAGCCGCCACGUGUCCCGGGCAUGAAACUUUGCGUUUCAUUCAUUCAAGAUUAAUAUUCGUUUGGGCUUUUGAUUUCACACGAUUUUUUUAAUAAAGCUUUGUAAAGCCCAUCUUAGAAAAAGAGUAAGUCGACUUGAAACGCGUCGGGUUCUGUUUCAAGGGUUGAACCCUUAUUCUUCUCCGCCGUCGUGAUGUAGCCUCCAACUCUAGGGUUUCGAUUCACCUUCUUCCUCCGGCCCUGAUUUUUACCAUGAUUGAGAUGAUGUUGUUUUGUUUCUGGGAGGCGAGGAAUGUUAGGUGGGGUGAUGAACUCAUGUCUGUCCACAUCUCUUGCUUGAUUUAAAGGUGACUCUUAUGCCAGCCACCAUAAGUGCUAAUCGGGUUCCAACCUUAUCUUCAAGCGUCGGCGAGAAAGAAAUAGAGUUCGUUUGUCUCAAGAAGGGGAAGGAGAAGCUGAACAAGGCCACCCGCAUACCAUCUUUUAUUCUGAUGAAGACGAGCCGGAAGAUCAUCAACCAAGGAGUUCCGACAAGCUUCAGCUGUCAGGGACGAAGCGACCGGUUGGAGGGGUUUCAACCAACGUUAGGUUCGAAGGGAGUCAAGAAAAUCUAUAAACAAUGUGAGAAAAUGGGAUCAAAUUCUAAAAGACUUUUUGGUGAGAAAGAUGAGAUUGUUUUGCUACAAGGUAUAAUUGAUUCCAAAGGGAAGAAUCCACUAGAAGAUAGGCUCUACGAAUCAUGAAGGGUUCUCUUAGCUUUGAUGUUACCUUGAGACAGUUCAAGGAGAAGCUUCAGACUAUGAGUAGGAAAUAUACAACUACAGAAAUGACGGGUGAACAAGCUUCGCUUCGAAUCCUCAUCAACAAAAGUGCUUUCAGUUGUCAAAGGCUAUUUGGGGGAGCUGAAGUGAUAGCUUUUGAAUCUGCUAUUGGGAAAUCAAAGGAGAGUAAGAAGAGAGUGACAAAGAAACAUGACUUGGCGUCUUCGCGUAAUGGUAAGAAUGCCCAAGACAGUAGUAAAAGAGGAGAUAUGGAGAAGUCACCACAUGUUGUGACAAAAUCUGAUUGGAAUGAGAAUUCGUUUUUCUUGGUAUGGAUUUUCUGAAGGCAAAAUGGACCAAGGUGCCAACUGAGACUAAGAAGGAAACCCAAGAGAAGAUGAAAAAAUUGCAUGCCAGUGAACAUGAAUCUCAAAACUUUGAAGGACAUUGAAGGGCAUGAAAGAUAAAUGUGUGCAUGACAAGUUAGAGUUGUUGAAUGAAGUUACCUCUACGAUCAUGGCAGCAGAUUAGAUAUAUAAUUAUUGGGUUCUCUUUUUAGAUGCAAAGGCUAUGUGAUCGCAACAUCUUCUUCUACAGCUAUUUUUGAACCCUUUUUUUUCCCCUAACUUCUGGUGUUUUUGAACUUAAAUCUUAACUUUCUGGUGUCUUCCGUGUGUUUGAGUAGCUUUUGAAGGUAAAAUGAAACGAGCAAGUACUAUAAAUAUUUUUUUCGGUU